RNAcentral lists this ribosomal RNA (844 nucleotides) under uncultured bacterium. RNAcentral describes it as "bacterial SSU rRNA". It matches the Rfam family "Bacterial small subunit ribosomal RNA", at positions 34 to 873 of the family's 1533-position model. The record is from RNAcentral.
CGCUGGCGGUAGGCUUAACACAUGCAAGUCGUGCGAGAAAGUAUCUUCGGAUAUGAGUAGAGCGGCGGACGGGUGAGUAACGCGUAGGAAUCUACCUAGUAGAAGGGGAUAGCCCGGGGAAACCCGGAUUAAUACCGUAUACCUCCUUCGGGAGAAAGAAGGCCUCUCUUUGAAGCUUUCGCUACUAGAUGAGCCUGCGUAAGAUUAGCUUGUUGGUGAGGUAAAGGCUCACCAAGGCGACGAUCUUUAGCUGGUCUGAGAGGACGAUCAGCCACAUUGGGACUGAGACACGGCCCAGACUCCUACGGGAGGCAGCAGUGGGGAAUAUUGGACAAUGGGCGCAAGCCUGAUCCAGCCAUACCGCGUGUGUGAAGAAGGCCUUCGGGUUGUAAAGCACUUUAAGCAGGGAGAAAAAGUUAUAAGUUAAUACCUUAUAACCCUGAUGUUACCUGCAGAAUAAGCACCGGCUAAUUCCGUGCCAGCAGCCGCGGUAAUACGGAAGGUGCAAGCGUUAAUCGGAAUUACUGGGCGUAAAGCGCGCGUAGGUGGUUUGUUAAGUUGGAUGUGAAAGCCCUGGGCUCAACCUAGGAACUGCAUCCAAAACUAACUCACUAGAGUACGAUAGAGGGAGGUAGAAUUCAUAGUGUAGCGGUGGAAUGCGUAGAUAUUAUGAAGAAUACCAGUGGCGAAGGCGGCCUCCUGGAUCUGUACUGACACUGAGGUGCGAAAGCGUGGGUAGCGAACAGGAUUAGAUACCCUGGUAGUCCACGCCGUAAACGAUGACAACUAGCUGUUGGGAGACUAUGUCUUUCAGUGGCGCAGCUAACGCUUUAAGUUGUCCGCC